UCCGCCUGCCCUGUGACAAUGUUCUAACGGCCGCGGUAUUUUGACCGUGCAAAGGUAGCGUAAUCACUUGUCUUUUAAAUGAAGACCCGUAUGAAAGGCACCACGAGAGUUUGACUGUCUCUACUCUCUAAUCAAUGAAAUUGAUCUUCUCGUGCAGAAGCGAGUAUGAUAACAUAAGACGAGAAGACCCUAUGGAGCUUCAAAUACAUAAAUUAAUUAUGUACAUAUAUAAUAAUCCCAGGACAUAAACAAAAAAUAUAAUACUUCUAAUUUAACUAUUUUUGGUUGGGGUGACCAAGGGGAAAAAUGAAUCCCCCUUAUCGACCGAGUAUUCAAUACUUAAAAGUUAGAAUUACAAUUCUAACCGAUAAAAAUUUUAUCGAAAAAUGACCCAGGAUUUUUCCUGAUCAAUGAACCAAGUUACCCUAGGGAUAACAGCGCAAUCCUUUUUCAGAGUUCCUAUCGACAAAAGGGUUUACGACCUCGAUGUUGGAUCAGGACAUCCUAAUGGUGCAACCGCUAUUAAGGGUUCGUUUGUUCAACGAUUAAUAGUCCUACGUGAUUGA
Molecule: ribosomal RNA, 566 nt
Filed under: Scyliorhinus canicula (smaller spotted catshark)
Lineage: Eukaryota; Metazoa; Chordata; Chondrichthyes; Carcharhiniformes; Scyliorhinidae
Description: partial 16S ribosomal RNA
Rfam family: Bacterial large subunit ribosomal RNA
Source: RNAcentral